GUGUCUCGAUUAUUCUGUAAGGCCCUUCUCAAUUUGGAGAUAACUUUUUCUGAUCUACAGGUCUUAAAACUUCAACUUUUCUUAGGACUAGAUCUCCUAGACGAAAGACCUUCGACUUAAUUUUUGCAUUAUAAUACUGGGCUACUCUUUGCCGAUAUACUGCCAUCUGAAUUUGAGCUUAUUGUCAAACUUCUGAAAGUAGAUCUAGA
RNAcentral lists this long non-coding RNA (209 nucleotides) under Elaeis guineensis (African oil palm). RNAcentral describes it as "long non-coding RNA (EGUI_LNC058376)". Lineage: Eukaryota; Viridiplantae; Streptophyta; Magnoliopsida; Arecales; Arecaceae. The record is from RNAcentral.